RNAcentral lists this long non-coding RNA (919 nucleotides) under Ananas comosus (pineapple). RNAcentral's name for it is "long non-coding RNA (ACOM_LNC030272)". Lineage: Eukaryota; Viridiplantae; Streptophyta; Magnoliopsida; Poales; Bromeliaceae. The record is from RNAcentral.
UUGUGGGUCCCGGUGUAAUUUUUAGCGCUCUCGGCGUGUUACGAUAAUCGGUUUUGGAAAAACGAUUCUUGUGGGAUUAAUUAUAGGGUUGUGUGUAGUGUCCCUGAGGUUUAAUUGUUUGAGAGACUUCAGCAUCUGUGGCUUGUCGACACGUCUGGAGAGUGUCGUGACAAGUCGAAGUCGUUUUGGCGCGAAUUGAACGCAAAACGGACUCGGUGUAGUGCGAGAGUGGCGUUCUGGCACUGAAAUCUGUAAUGUGCAGGAUUUCAGCGUUGAGUAUCGGUACCUGGGAGGAGUACCGGUACCCCAGAGGGAUUACAAAACUGAAAUGCUCUCGGGUUUGCGCAGUUUGAUGCUGAGUACCGGUACCUGUCGGUGAGUACCGGAACUGGGGCUGAGUACCGGUACCUCAGAGGCAGAUUUGAGUGGUAAAGGGUAGUUUGGUUCUUUUGAUUGGCGAUUAUUCCAGCCGACCCCAGCUUAUAUAUAUAUGUGUGUGUGUGUGUGUGUGUGUGUGUGUGUGUGUGUGUGUGUGUGUGUGUGUGUGUGUGGAAGCUUCGAGAAGGCUGUUAGCUUCCCUUCUUCUUCCCUUUCCCUAACUGGUUAGGAUUGAACGUAGGAGGGUCGUUCGAGCGUGUGGGUUGUCCCGGUGGAGCAGUUGGAGGUAUGAGCUGAUCUUCCUUCUCGUCGUCUUGGAGGUUCGCUCGUGUGCCGUGGCCGAUUUCGAUUAAGCCCGUUUGAGGUAGAGCUAGUGCGGAGCUUCUCCUUUUGACUUCUAGCCGGUGUUGGACGAGCGUUCGAGGUGGGUUAAUGUUUAUCGAAAUCGUUGGAAUUCCUUCUAAGUCAUAGAGUGUCAGCAUGUGUUUUAUUGUUCAAUUAUCAUGUUUAGUAGCUCAAAUUCAUGGAUUUGUUUGUUCUU